RNAcentral lists this ribosomal RNA (459 nucleotides) under uncultured bacterium. Its description in RNAcentral is "partial 16S ribosomal RNA". It matches the Rfam family "Bacterial small subunit ribosomal RNA", at positions 338 to 795 of the family's 1533-position model. The record is from RNAcentral.
CCUACGGGUGGAUGCAGUGAGGAAUAUUGGUCAAUGGUCGGGAGACUGAACCAGCCAAGCUGCGUGAGGGAUGAAGGUACAGAGUAUCGUAAACCUCUUUUGUCAGGGAACAAAGGCGGGGACGUGUCCCCGGAUGAGAGUACCUGAAGAAAAAGCAUCGGCAAACUCCGUGCCUGCAGCCGGGGUAAUACGGAGGAUGCGAGCGUUAUCGGGAUUUAUUGGGUUUAAGGGGUGUGCAGGCGGUCUGUUAAGCCAGCGGUCAAAGCCCGGGGCUCAACCCCGGCCCGACGUUGAAACUGGCAGUCUCGAGUUGGAGAGAAGUAUGCGGAAUGCGCGGUGUAGCGGUGAAAUGCAUAGAUAUCGCGAAGAACUCCGAUUGCGAAGGCAGCAUGCCGGCUCCACACUGACGCUGAGGCACGAAAGCGUGGGUAGCGAACAGGAUUAGAUACCCGAGUAGUC